UUUUUGACACUUAUGCCAAAAUUUCCCACAUCACUAAAAUGGAAAACAUAUCAAGCUUAUCAACUACAGCGAGCCAGCCCACAGUUCUUCUUUAACAAGUGAGGUGAGGUGGCAUCUUGUAUAUAAUAUGUUCAAAGCUCUGAAACUGUACCAUGGUGGUAUGUCUUUCAUACACACCUGACCUGCUUACCCACAAAACUCCAUUACUCAAUUCCUCCAUCACAAGAUUGAAGUUUGGUUAUCAGGAAGCUCUGGUUUUACUCAAAAGUGUAGAAAUUUUGGUCAGCUGAAGCUUAUCCAUGCAAAAAUCAUUCGCCAUGGUCUCUCUAAUGAUCAGUUACUAGUAAGAAAACAUCUUGACCUUUGCUCUUUUUAUGGCAAAACGGUUCUUGUUUUUAGUCAAAUUCAUUGCCCACGUGUGUUUACUUGGAAUCUUAUGAUUCGGGCUCUGACUAUUAAUGGCAGCUCCCUGCAACUGCUCUUGCCGUAUAACCUUAUGAUUUACAAUGGCUUUAAACCCCAAGUUUACUUUCCCGUUUGUUAUUAAAGCUUGUAUUGCAUCUUUGGCUAUUGAGAAGGGGAAAGAGGUUCACGGGCUAGCCGUUAAAGCUAGGUUUUUGCGAGAUAUGUUCGUGCAAAACACUUUGAUGGAGUUUUAUUUCAUGUGCAGGGAUGUAGACGGUGGGCGUAAGGUGUUUGAUAAAAUGCGAUGUUAAAAGUGUGGUUUCGUGGACGACGAUGAUCUCUGGCCUUGCCACCUCUGGGGAUUUGGAUGCUGCCCGAGGGGUUUUUGAGCAAAUGCAAACGAGAAAUGUUGUUUCGUGGACAGCUAUGAUUAAUGCGUAUGUUAGGAAUGAGAGAGCUCAAGAGGCUUUUGAGUUGUUUCAAAGAAUGCAGCUUGAUAAUGUCAGGCCGAAUGAGUCUACACUUGUUAGCUUGUUACAAGCUUUUAAGAACUGGGAAAGCCUAAAAUUGGGCGGCUAGAUUCAUGGUUUGAGUCCCAUAAUUAUUUUAUGGGACUUAAUUCCUUGCCAUAGUAGUGGAGGUAGAUUUUUCUUCUCAUAAUUAUGGGUAGAGUACAUAUAUUUUCUUAAUUAGGGUUAAUUUAGGUUUAUUCUCAUGUGAAGUGACAAAUUUUGAAUCGCUCCCUUACUAUUGAACAUAUCAAGUUAUCCCCCAAAAUUCGUUAUCUUUAACCAUUGACCGUCGUUGACUCAUAAAAAUACAAAAAUACCCCUACCUUAACAGAAUAUUUUUGUAACAUCAUUGUAAAACUAAAAAAAAUGGUUGAUGUAUGACUAGUCUUUGAAAAAAAAAAUAGUUAAUGAAUAAUUAAUUGUUGAAAAAUAAAUUAAAAAAUAAAGUAUUGAAAUGACUUAGUAUGCCUAAAUAAUUUGAUAGUUUUCCUUAAUUAGACAUGUUAGUUAAAUAAAUUAUAAUACAUGCCAUCGUUUAUAAGUUACGAUAAUGCCAUCUUCGUCUUUUUCCUUUCAUUUCUCUUCAUUUUUUCUUUCAUUUUUUUUAUCCUUACUCCUUCGUCUUUUUCUUCAUUUUUUUUCUUUUCUUUCAUGUACAUGACUCCAGUAACUUUUUUAUUUUCUUUCAUUUUUCUCAUCCUUACUCCUUCAUCUUUUCCUUUCAUUUGUUUUUUUUUUCUCAUCCUUACUCCUUCUUCGACUUUUUCUUUAAUUUUUUUCUUUCAUGUACAUGACUCCAGUAGCAUUUUUUUUCUUUCCUUUCAUUUGUUCGGUGAAACUCUAGUAACAACUUUCUUUUGUUCUUUGAUUUUCUUUUUUUUAUAUAUAUAUAUAUCUAUAUUUCCUUUAAGUACCUUUAGAAAAUGAAAAAAGAAUAAUAAUGAUAAUAAUAAAAAAUAUGAAAAAAGGUAAAAUAUUCUUAUUUUUCCAUUUGUAGCAUUUAAUUAAUUCCUAUAUUUAUUUUUUAAAAUAAAAUUUUAAAUAUGAAAAGGUAAAAUUUAAUCCGUUCAAAAAAAUUAGUCAUAUAGGCACAAAAUAAAAAAAUAUUUUAAAGUAUUAGGGAACAUACUAUAAAUAUUUGAAAUAUUUAUGUGUUUUUUGAAAACCCUCGAGAGAUUUGGACCCAUGAAAAAUAGUCUACCUAGGUUUGACCUUUUUCUGUUAAUUGACUGUUAGAAAAAUGUGCAGAUACUAUUUUAUCCUUUUAGGCAUUAAAAAUAAUAGAGAGAUAACAAGUUUUGGGGGGUAACUUGAGGUUUUUAAUAGUAACAGGGGCAAUUUGAAGAUUGUCACUUUACGAGGGAGUAGGCCGAAAUUAACCCUCUUAAUUAUGUGCAAGUUUACACUUGCCGCUAGAUUCACGGUUUGAGUCCCAUAAUAAUUUUAUGGGACUUAAUUCCUUACCAUACUAGUGGGGGUAGAUUUUUCUCCUCAUAAUUAUGGAUAGAGUAGAUAUAUUUUCUUAAUUAUGAGUGGGGCAGAAAUAUGGAUGGUGAUAUAAUAAGAAUUAAUCUUGAUCUAAAUUUUUUUUUUUAAAAUAUGAUCUAGAUUUGUCUUACUAGAUAGAUGUCUAUAAGAUUUCAUCUUAACCUAAAUUAGUCUCGAUAGAUAUCUAAUUGUAACAUUAACAAAUUACUUGUUAUAAAUAAUCGAUUAGUCUAUUAAAAGAAAAAACCAAUUACGUAUAUAGUAAGCUUAAUUCAAGUUUUUUUUUCCCUUUUGAAAUAAAAUAUUUGGUAUAUAUAUAUAUAAGCUUAAUUCGUUUAUAUAGAGAGCUUUUCAUUUCAUGAUGCACGAAAUUAGUUCGCAAUGAUGUCCAAAAAGAGUAAUAUAAAUUUUUGGAGAAAAUGCAUAAUCCAUUGAAAUUGAAUAAUUAGCAUCAACCUAAGCAGCAAAAUAAUAGGAAAAGUAGUUAUGGGCCAAAUGAGGCACGAUGACCAUUAAGAAAAUUUGAGCUUGAAGGAGUUGCAGAUGCAGCAUCGAGUAUCAUCUCAAAGGCAUUUUCGAUGCAUGACUUCAGCUUUGGAGAAUCAAUGAAGCCUUCUUCUGCUCCUAAUGAAACCCUUAGAUUUCCCAUGUAGGUCACAAUCGUCACCACAAGACUCUGCAAACCCAUAAAUGCACAAAUAUAAUCAAUCAAAUUCCAAAUUUUUUUUAUUUUUUUAAAAUUUUAGCUGAAGUAUCAAUUAACCUAUACCUGUGGUGAACCAGCCACCAUAAAGUACAAGCCUUUGAUGGGAUGAUUGGCCAAAGCCAUCUUUUCCACCGGUCCCAUCAUAUUGGUAAUCGCUAAACUGGAGUUAUUCAGCGAGCCAUGGAUAAAUUUAGCUGCUGUCUGCAUUACAACUGGACCUAAUAAGUAUAAUCGCACACAUGGCACAAUUUUUGUAGUACUUAAGAAAAGAAAAAUGCUGAAAUUCUGGACAAUAUGACGUGGCAGUAUUGCUCCACAUAUUUAGUAAAAGCUUAAAUAAAUUUUUAACAAUCCUACCUCAUGGCCUCUCAAUUUCUUCACAGUCUCCAAAAGCUUGGCAGUAAGGUAAGCACCGAAAGAACUGCGCUUACUCUGGAUGAUCUCUUGAGCUUUCUGGAUGAAUUUCAGUGGGUUUUGGACCUCCGCAUUGGUUAAUUGAGGAACUGAUAUGUGCAAAAAUGCAAAAUGGUUUCCCCAGGGUGCCUUACUGUCAGGCUUAACCAUCUCCUUGAUGGAACUGAUGCUUUUGAACAUCCUGGUGUUGAGCAGUACCACUGCUGUUGAAUGUAGAUUAGUUGACUCCUGGUUCACUGCUUGCAUGUACAAUCGAAUCCCCAAAAAUAUAGUUCCCGUAAUAACAUCGUUUAGUGUCUGUAUAUUGUCAUUUGACAUUACAUAACGGUUAAAAUAUAGACAAAUAUCUUUUAAAUAGUUAAGCUAAUUUAAUUUAAUUAGUUGAUUGUGGGUGUUGAUUAGUCCAAUUAACAAAAUAUAAAAUCUCUUAUUGCCCUAAGAGCCACUCCUAGAAUCCUUCAGUAAUCAGUAAUCCAUUUUAUUUUUAACUAUCUGAGGCCAGACACAUAAAGGGGCCCAUAAAAAUCGUCCUUUCAAUUUAUGAGCUUGAAUUAUCGACACCUAGGGACGGCAAUUGUGCCCGCAAAUCUACCCAAACCCACCCGUCAAAACCUGCCCACUACGGAUAAUUUUGCGGGUUGCAGGUGAGUUUAGUAUUAUAAAUUGAGACCCGCACUUGAAUGCAGGUGGAUUUGGCAUUAUUAAGGAAAAAUAAUGUAAUUUUUUUAAAAAUAUUUUUAAUUUAAUUUUACUUUAAAAAAAAGUGAUAAAUGAAAUCAACGACGUGAUUUCAUAGCAUACCAAGAAGCACGGCGUUGAAUAUAAAUGACAAUAAGCAACAAGAAAGCUGUGGAAUAAUUUAUUUUUAUUUUCUUAUUUCUUAGUUAGAAUUUUUUUUUCCUAAAUAUUAUUUAAACUUCUAGUGUAUCUCAUGAUCAUUCCAAUCUAUUUUCUCUCUAUUUUUCUCUGACCUUUCAACGAAAAUGAAAGCCUUUUGUUGUAAUCACGUGGCUAUUUUUUGUCAAACGAAUUGUGUUCCAAGUUUAUUACAACAUUUCACUGCACCUACGAAAUAUAAUUCUAUAAUGUACAGAAAGGGGAUGUGAGAGGUGAAACAUGCCGACCCCUCUGCAAAUUUUCAUUGACAAUAAAUUGUCCUGGAAAUAGUGAAGCUUAUGUCGGUACUGAGUAUUUUUCUGGCUCGGUUAUUAAUUAAAGCUUUUGAUGAUCGUUGUCACCGGGUCAUUAUCAAGGAUAAACCUAUGAUACCACAGUUGUAUGGUACCACAGUUGGAUCCAACCAUUGGAUCUAGCCCACAGUUGUCACCAGAACUAAAUUUAAUAGUUGGAUCCAGCUGUGGUAUCAUACAACUGUGGCACCAUAGCUGGACCCCAUUAUCAAUAUUCAUCAUCACAUUCUCUGAGUUCAAAAUACAUAAAAACGAAAAUCACAAGAUCAUGUGAUGUUCACUCUCAUUUUGAGAAGUCAAUAUUAGCGGAAAAAAUGUUUUAUUCUCUCUUGUGAAGAAAAAUGUUCUAAUAUGUGUUUCAUAUGUAAUGACAAUACCUAAGAGAAGUGCUCCCACAAUCUUAGAUAUGUGGACCAUCAAAGGGCCGAAGAGUUGAUGGGGUAUUUUAUUUUUAGAAAUGGCUAGAUCAAUGGCCAAGCUAACAACAUUUUUUAGGUGGAAAUGAUAUAGACAUCCUACCACUUCUUUCUAUCUAAAAAAAAUUUGAAUAAUUUACUUUUAUUUUCUUAUUUCUUACUGUUAAAAAUUUUUACAUCUAAGAUUGCUUUUAUAUUAUAAUCAAAAUAUGUGUAAUUAACUUAAUCACUAGUCACAUUCUCUCAAAAUACUACUCGUAUGUGGACACACAAUAUAUGUGAUCCACAUAUUGUGUUCAGGCGGUGUCUUCAAAACUACAUGCAACAAGAAUAUUAUUGACGUUAAUUUAAUGUCAUCGUGAUUAAGAUACUUACAGCUCCAAGAUUGUCCUUAAUUUGCUUGAUUUGAUGGAGAGGGAAUGUCAUUGUUGUUAUAGUAAUUGGUAACCAGCCCGCCGCAGCACUACCAGAUCUUAUUGGCGUUUUAUCGUCUUCAAUCAAGCUGCUUUUGAUCAUGCUCCAACAAAAAUCUGAAGCUGUAUUGAACACAGUAUUGAAAAACUUAGGUACAUUCUUGAAUAUACUACUGCCAUUAAUGUCUGGUCUCAUUCGAACACUAGGAAAUGUCAAGGGGCGAGAAGGAUCAUCGGCUCUUUGAAGACAUGAAAGAAGAGCUCCCAUCAAUGAGAAGCCGUCGCCAAGUGCAUGAUGAAGCUUCAAUAUCACACUACUUGCUGCAUUGCUCGUUGGAUAUUUUACUAUGUGAACUUCCCACAAUGGUUGGCUUUGAGGCAUUUGUUCCGCGGAUAAUUUUGAUAAGUAAUCUUGCAGGCACUUGUCGUAGAAUUGUUGUGACAUGCCAACGGGGAAAUUUGGAACAUAGACGUGGUUUUUGAGCUUCACUUCAACGCUUUUCCAAUGUUUCACUCCAUUUUUGUCCACAACCUGUUUCAAUAAAAGCACUUUUCAAUAUAUUAAGAUCCGUUUGAUAUAUUUUUUUAAAUUGAGGUUAUUUAAAUAAAAUUUUUGUUAGUAAAGUUUUUUUAAGAACACAUACAGCAUCGUAGACACAACCUUUAAUAUAUUUAAAGACUAAACAAGUUGGUGUAACUACAGAAUAAUUCUAUAUAGAGAGUAAUCAGACAGAACAAUUUAACCUUAAAUGAGCAUUUUAAAACAUGUAAAAAUAUGCGGGAGGAGAAAGAGAAAGGAGGAAUGAUAGGAAUAUAACUAAUUACCAUGAUGGAGGAGAAGCGAGGGUUGAUGGGAAGGAAAAUAUCCUUUAGCAACGGAAUAGCCCUCGAAUCAUCAAAGGGCACUUCUGAUUCCAAAACAGCAAGAAUAGAGAUUGAUAGAAUAGAGCUAUUGAAAUAUUGCCCAAUUGGGCUCACAGGCUCUGCUACCACUUCAUCAGCUUUCUCACACUCCAUUUCCAGUUUUGUGUUAGAUCCUGAAACCUUUUUUUUUUUUUUUCCUUCUUUUGAGCACGAGCUUCUCUUUCUCUUGGUUAAAUAUAAAUGGCAAGCAAGUUAGCUAGGCGUCUUUGUCAAGCAUUAAAAUUUCCCAACUCAAUAGCGGCUCGGCUCGACCUUUAGGCAACUUAGGCGGUUGCCUAGAGCCUCACUUUAUAUGAAGGCCCCACGAAAUGAUUAUUUUGUAUAUAAAAGAGGAAAAUGAAUUUAAAAAUUAUUAUUAUUCAUUUAAGUUAUUAUUAUUUUGUAAUUAUCUUUUCUUAAAUAAAUUAUCAAUUCCUAUAAAGUUUAGUGUAUUUAAUGUAGUACUUAAUAGUUUUAAUUUCUACAAAACCGAUAAAUUAAUAGUUUCAAUCCUACAAAUUCUCUAUUUUAUUGUUAGAAUUAAUAUGUUAUAUUUCAAAAGUUUUAUAUUCAUUUUAAACCCCUAUAAAAGGCCCACAUUUUAUUACUUAUCAAUUAAAUUUUUCCUCCAACAAUCAAGACAUGAUAUGUUCUUGGUGUUUGAGAUAAAGAAAGAGAGAGAAAGAGAAAGAGAAAAAAAUCAUGCUUCCUCUACUUUCCACUCAAGAAGAAAAAGAAAAAAUCUAUUAGUUCUCUCUAUUCUCUAUGACUAUUGGCCAUUACUCAAAUCCUCAAACAAUUAAUGUAAACAUAAGUUAAUUUAUGAUUUCGUCUCAAAUUGUAGAUUUUAUCUUUUUAUUAUUUUCUUAAUUAGUUGUGUUAUUUAUUUGUUCUUAUUUCUUUUUAAUAUAUUCUUUUAUUGAUCUACUUUUUUGUGUGUGCUUGUUUUAUCUAUUUUGCAAUAAAACUAUAUGGAAAAACUUUAGAGACUAGAAGAAUAGAAAAAAUAGUUUAAUUUAGAAAAGGAGUAGUAAAAAAAAGAUAUAAUAUGAGUAAAAAAACAAUAAGUAGAAAUGUUAUAAUUGAAUUAAAAUUUCGUAGAUUAGCAAUAGUAGAAUAGAAUUUUAUUUAAUAAUUUUACAUUUUAGAGUAUUUAAAGAAUUGAUUUUCAAUAAAUAAUAUAUAUAUAUAAUCCUAAAUUUUAGAAAGAAUUAAUUAAAACCAUUUACCUAAAACCCCAAAUAUGAUUGAGCCAGCCCUGUUCCAGCUUAUAUAGUAAUUACAUUCGUUUCCCAUUUAUUUAUCUUACGGGACAAACAUAUUGGAGCCACAGUGAAAGAAUCAGGUGGUCCAUUUAUAUUGAUUUUCUGAUAUUGCUAUUAGGCAAGUGCUAACUUACACAAUUCAUCUCAACCACACAAAAUUAUGGAACCCACAAUUUAUGUGGUUGAAAUGAGUUGUGUAAGUUAUAUUAAAUAUAACUUAGGGACACCCAUUGCUAUUAAUGCAAAGUUCGGUGAGCACAUGAUGACACGUCAAUUUUCAAGGUAGCAAAGUUACUAUUGAAUUCAUUAGAUACUUUCACAUGGUACUCGUUGGAAAUUGUGUCCUCGUAUUUGGAAAAUGACAUUCCUAGAACUUAUAUUAAUAAUUUAAUAUUUAUCACGCAAAUUAUAUGUAAUCUUUCUAUGAAUUUCGAGAUAGAAAGCUCCUCUCUCAUACGGAUACGCUUGAUGGAGAAGGAAGAAUGCGUGCAUUGAAUUUGAACCAUGAGAUUAGUCCAAUGGCAGAUUGGCAACAAUCAAUUGCUUCAAGUUAUAACGCUUUCGACAAUAAUGCUUUUCUUUGUCCUAUAUGGUACAUUAAAAUUCCAGAAAAACCAAAUAAAAUAAUCUCUUUCCUUUAUAAUAUUUAAACAACGACAAGAUGAGGUUAAGUUGUUUUAUUUAAUUGAUCAUUUGUGUUUAAACGGUAGAGAAAUAAAAAAUAAUAAUAAUUUGUGGGUUUCAGAUAGUUCACAAUCUCCUCACAAAUUAUUUGUUUGCUAUUAGACUAAAUUAAAAAAUAAAAAUAAACUUUUUAUAGUGUAGAAUUUGCCCCAAGGUAUGGUUGAAUGUUUUUUAAUUUUUUUUUUUUUUGCCUACCUGAGCCCCAAGGUAUGGUUGAAUGUUUUUUAAUUAUAGUGUAGAAUUUGCCCCAAGGUAUGGUUGAAUGUUUUUUAAUUUUUUUUUUUUUUGCCUACCUGAGUUUGAAUUUUUAGGGCGAUAGUGACCAACAAAUUAAUUUAAACUUUGUCUAUACCGACCUUUUUAAGAAAAUAAUAAUAGUAACUACAAGUUUGUAAUUAUUUUCUUAGUACUAAAAAUAUAAGAAAUUAAAGAAAAAUAACAAAAUAAUAAUAAAGUAAUUGAUGGUGUGUGAAGAGUUAGUGACGAAAAGAAAUUAUGUUUGAUUUUAAUUAAAUUUAUUUUUAUCCUUUUACGCAAUUCUAAGCUAUAAAUUAAAAAGAUUUUUUAUGAAUUAGAAUAAAAAAAUUUCUUGACGUUGAAGAGUCAAGAAAGGAGCCACAUGCAAUUUCCGACAAAUUUAAUGUUUUGGUGUCCAAAUUUAAAGCUUUGGUGGCCAAACGGAUGCUAUUUGGAGAUUUUCUUAUUUCAUGAAACGGUGCCCAACAUGGUUGAAAACAAUUAAAGGAUUUGGUGCAAUAGUGUAAUUGUUUUGCCCAUAAAUUGAAGCCACUUCUUUCAUUCAGUGUAUCCUAAAAAGUAGAGAGCUUAGGUGAAGAGCUCUCUAAGAGAAUAUUCAAGAGAGUUAUCAAUGAGAGAUUUCAGAGAAAGAGAUUAUCUGCAAGUGAGUUCUUAGAAAGUUUGGGAGAGCGUUUGCUUGGGUGUUGAGUUGGGUUAUUUGUAGAGAUGUGAGAGAAUGUUUGUCUUAGGAAAAAUGUUUCUUUUAAAAUAUGUGAGAGUAAUGGAUAUAUUUUGAUAAUUACUCUAAUUUGUAAUCUAUUAAUUGUUAGUAAAAUAAUUAUCCUCUUUUGUUUCCGUGGAUGUAUUUUUAUUGUCGAAUCACGUAAAAUUCUUGUUUCGCUUUUUUUUUUUUUGUGAAUAUUUGGUGUGUAUUAAUUCUGCAUUUGCGCAAAAGUAGUAUCAAACCACAACAAAUGAUGCUUUUAUAGCACAAGUGGUAUUAGAGAGCAACAACCAGUACUAGAGCACAAUAAGUGGUAUCAAAGCAAGACAAUUGGUAUCAGAGUCGAUACUUCAUACUUGCGAUACGCACUGUUCAUGAAUAUAGUGGAGCAGAUGAUUCGUACUUGAGGUAUACGGUUUUGUUCACGUAUAUGAUAAUAUUCGUGUAUACAAUAUUAUUCACAUAUAUGGUAUUGUUCACAAAUACGAUAGAGCCAACAGUUCCUACUUAGGUAUAUCAAAAGCAUGUAAUAUUGUUAUGUAGAUAAGUGCAUGUCCAGGAAAUUUCUGCCAACAAAACUAUCAUUGUCUAAGGAGUCUAAGUUUUAAGUAAGAUGGUUGUGACCUCUCCAGCCUUUCCUACAACUUUGUUGGUGCAUUUUUCAUACGAACAGACACAAAAUAGACUAUUUUUCUUAGGUGUGAAUAGUUGUUGAAAUGGUAGUGUUGGUUUGCUUAUUGCUAAAGGUAUCAGUGUGCAAAUGUACACAACAAGUAAUAUAAUGAUGAAUAUUCAAAUCGUCUCCACAAUGAUUGAUGUUAUAAGAUUUGUUUCAACAAUCUUAACAAUGCAAUUUCAAUUUAAUUAAAAUAAAAUAAUUAAUGAAAUUAAUGAACUAACUAAAUUAAAAAAAAAAAUGCGAUAAACCAAAUCCAAUAAAGAAAAUCUUAAGUCAAACCCAAAGAUGUACUUAAUGGGAAAUGAGUAGUUGAGUGAUAGAUUCUUUAAAUGCAUUUCAAUGCACAACCUAGCAUACUUCCCUCAUCCCGCCAAGAAGUACUUGUGAACUUUGACAAUCCGUCCUAUUUUGUUUAGUCAUCACAAUGAAAAUACAAAAAAAAUAUAUAAUAAAGACAUCCCCUUUCAUAUGUUCAAGAUAUUUAAUAAUGGACAUUGAGUUAAAUAUCCUUAUAAAUUUAUAAAUAACGCUAAGGUUCUAUCUUAGCGUACUUGCAACUAUAACACUUGUAUAACACAAAUAGUUUUGUAUGUGAGACAUAAUAAAUAGAUUGGUCAAAUUUCUAUUAGUUAAGUUCUUCCAAAUGACAUAUCAUGAUGACCAAGGAAAUUCAUACAACAAUUGAUGUCAUCUUGAAUAAAUGUGUUAUUUCGAGGCUUUAUCAUGAAGUUGGCAAGGUCAAUAGCAUUUGGAUUUUAGUUGUAGGGAUGACAAUGUUACCUAUAAAUUUACCCAAACCUGCCAUCAAAAGAUGCCUGCUAUAAGUAAUUUUGUGGGUUGCAUGGGAGUUUACUAUAAUAAAUUUAAAUCCGCUAUGGGUUAUCGGUGGGUUUCGUAUUAACAAAAAACUUGUGUGGGUAUCUGGCAAACCCUUAAUUUUAUUUUUUUAUAAAUUUAAAUUAUUAAAAUUACACUAAAAAUAUUUAAUUAUAAAAAUACAUAAACUAAGUUAUUGACAAUAAUUUAUUGCUCAAGACCUAACCCAAUCUUCUUAAUUAUAAAAAAAAAUAAUUGUUGUCGCUAACUUGAUUCACAUCGUCCUCUUCACAGUAUGUAUGCAUAUAUUUUUAAAAAACACUUGUGUAGCUAUCAACGAAAAAACAAUCAUAUUAGUUGAAAUGAGUUUGUCUUAGAUUUAUUGGUUUCAACAAAAAAUCCACCCAAAUUUAGCUACUAAUCUAACUUUUAAUGCAGAGUUAAUUGUAUAUUUGUAUGCAGUAGUGAAAGUAUAUUUUUAUAGAAAUGUUAGAUAAAUCUAUUUUUUUGGAUGUUAUAUUAUGAUUUUAGAUGUGGUGUUAUUAUUUGAAACAAAUAUGUUGUUGUUGCCAUGGCUAUGAGUUACAGGCAAAACCCGCUGACUUGAAAUAAAUGUGUUGCUACUACUGCUACUGUGCGUUGCGGGCAAAAAUAGCUGCAGAUUGCAGGAGGAUUAAUUAGUAACUGUUAAAACUCACAACGGGUGGAUUUUUAAAAAAAAAUUAAAAAUUUACAGUGAGUUGUGGAUGAAUCUAAUAAUUUAAAUUUUUUAUAAGUACUGAUUUGAUAAUGACAAACCCACUACGAUCAGUAUCCAUUACCACUCUAGAUUAAGGGGAAGCAUAAUUUUAUUUCCCUAAAUGGCAAACUCAAUUUGUUAGAUUAGAAGAUGAAGAUAUCCUCAAAAGUUCUUCUGUGUAAUUAGUCUUCACAUGUCUUCAGAAAUCUUCAUCAAAUUCUAUAGUUAAUAAAUCGAGUCUUCUAUUCGUGUAAUCUUCAACUUCUUCCAUAUGCAUGCAGAAAUGCAGAAUAAGACCAUUCAUAUAGCGCCACGUGUCAUUAGAAUAAAGCAUUCAUAUAUCCUAAAUGAAUUAGAAUUAAACACCGAUUAGAGUUCAUUACUAAUUUUAACUCCUGUGCAGAUUAGGUAACUACGUGCGUUUAUAAACUGCUAUAUUAUUUCAACUACCGGAGGAAAAACAGCACGGGGAAAAGCAAAGGGGAGGCUUCGAGCGAGGGAACAAGUUUGCAUCUUCGUCUUCACAGCCAUGGUAGGGUUUGGCUUAUUCAAGAAGAAAAAGAUUUCGAGUUCCAAAACACCGGCGUCAUCGAUUCAGGACUUGGAGAGAAUCAUCCCGGAGAUGCGGAUGGUUCUUUUCGGUGAUGAUGAUGAUGAAGUGACAGUUUCAGAGAGAGCCUGCGACCAAUUGACGAACACGUUCUUCAGCGAAGGCCGGCUCCGUGUUCUAAUCCUGUCUCUCCCAAAGCUCGAGUCCGGCCUCCAGUUGGACGCCAUUCGCGUUAUUGCAGGCUUGCAGAGACGAAGGGUCGCGGCGAAUCCGUAUAUCGCUUCCGAUUAUAUGGAAAAUAAUUUGGAUUUGAUAGACAUUCUUUUAUCUGGGUACCAAGUUGAUGAUCUUGCUCUCACUUAUGGCGCCAUUGCCAGAGAUUGUAUUCGUCAUCAGUGCGUGGCCAAGUACGUGUUGGAAUCGGAUCAUAUGAAGAAGUUCUUCGCAUAUUUGCAGAACCCGAGUUUCGAAAUUGCCUCAGACGCACAAGCAACGUUUAGAGAACUCCUGACAAGACAUAAGUCUACAGUUUCCGAGUUUCUUUCCAAGAAUCAAGAUUGGUUCUUUCAAGAAUACAAUUCCCAGUUGCUCGAAUCCCCUAAUUACAUCACAAGAAGGCAUGCUGCUAAACUACUGGGAGAUAUAUUGCAGUGCAGUUCAAAUUCUGCUGUGAGAGACAAAUAUGUUAGCUCAUUGAAUAACUUGAGGGUCGUGAUGAAUCUUCUCAGAGAUUCCAACAGACACAUUCAGUUCGAGUGCUUCCAUGUGUUCAAGCUGUUUGUUGGGAAUCAGAGUAAGCCUCAGGAGAUCAUCCGUGUUCUGCUGGCGAAUCAGAGCAAGCUUCUUCAGUUCUUCGGGGAGUUUUAUCUUGAUCGAGUGAAUGAUGAGCAGUUCGAAGCUGACAAGUCUCGAGUUAUGAGAGAGAUUAUCAAUACGACGAGUGUUACUGUUAAAAGCUAAAUUGUUGUUAUUUAUUUGCUUGUAAAUUCCAUCGAUGUAAAAUGACUAAAUUGUUCAUCAAUGAAAAGCUUUUUUGUUUCUUUUGACAUUUAUGCCAAAAUUUCCCUCAUCACUAAAAUGGAAAACAUAUCAAGCUUAUCAACUACAGCGAGCCAGCCCACAGUUCUUCUUUAACAAGUGAGGUGAGAUGGCAUCUUGUAUAUAAUAUGUUCAAGGCUCUGAAACUGUACCAUGGUGGUAUGUCUUUCAUACACACCUGACCUGCUUACCCACAAAACCCCAUUACUCAAUUCCUCCAUCACAAGAUUGAAGUUUGGUUAUCAGGAAGCUCUGGUUUUACUCAGAAAGUGUAGAAAUUUUGGUCAGCUGAAGCUUAUCCAUGCAAAAAUCAUUCGCCAUGGUCUCU
This 13507-nucleotide long non-coding RNA is filed under the name Citrus sinensis (sweet orange). RNAcentral describes it as "long non-coding RNA (CSIN_LNC000696)". The record is from RNAcentral. Lineage: Eukaryota; Viridiplantae; Streptophyta; Magnoliopsida; Sapindales; Rutaceae.